This is a non-coding RNA of Oryzias latipes (Japanese medaka), 3136 nucleotides long. Lineage: Eukaryota; Metazoa; Chordata; Actinopteri; Beloniformes; Adrianichthyidae. The record is from RefSeq and is a predicted model, not a curated record.
CUUUAGAACAAAAUAAUGUGAACCUCGCUGCUGCAGCCCCGUUUUCCCCUUUCAUUAGCACUCUUUUAAUCCCUAUAGAGUUUAGAGUAGCUUUAAUUCAAACUAAAUUCGAAACACCCGAAGUUAAUAAAUCUCUGAAAACGGCGGAAUCUGAAAUACAGUCCAUCACUCAGGCUGAAGGCACAGAGGUGGUUAAAGUCUGUGGCAAAGCUCCAGGAGGCCCUGCAGACAUCAGCAGCCACAACCGGAAGUCCCCCAUAAACGAAGGAGUUUUAGGAUGAGAUCCUGGAGACAAGCGGCUUACAUAAACAUCCUAAAAACCCCGGAUUCUCUGGAGGGUCUUUGGUUUCUGUGCGCCUUGAAGACCUGGAGGAGGAUCCUGUGGACAAGGAGGUCUGGGCAUCUCCGCUGAAAAUCCAACCCAGCAUACGCAGAAGAUGGAUGGACGGAAGGUAUUUUUACCCUUUUUUUGGUUUUGUUUCUUUUACACAUUUCUUUUCAAAAUAAAAUGAUAAAUCCAUUAUUAUUCAUCAUAAACUCCAAAUAGACUUGCUUAUAAAUGUUACUAUCAAUGACAAAGUACCUUAAAAGUUUAGUUCUUAUAAUUCUAUUCUUUAUACGUGUAUUAACUGCUGCAAAAACAGGCAGUAAAACAAACAACUUGGUUCCAGUUUGUACUUUUCUCAUAAAAUAAAGACAAGACAUAAAAAAACCUGUAGUUUUAUUUCUCUUUAAUUGACAAUCAUAGAUUAAAUAGAAGUUACAACUUUGUGUUUAAUUUAUUUAUUACAGUUUCCACAACUAAGGCACUUUAUGUAAAAACCAGUUUCUGUAAAAUGAAAUAUAAUAAAUCUAUCUAAAAGAGCAUCAACAAAUAUUAAUAAUACUAGUCAAUAAGCAGCGAUUGACUAAAAUUUAAGCAGUCUUCAAUAGCUUCUAUGUAUAAAUAUAAACUUUCAUCCUCCCUUAAAGUUUCUGGGUUUAUCUUCUGUAAUGAAGUUCACACUUCCUAACAUCCUGCAUGCUACUCGACUACAGAUUAUGCAAUAGUGAUUAUGGAAGUUUAAAGAAAAACCUUAAAAUUAAAACUUAUUUUCCUCAUUAUUGUCUUCUCUGUUCUCUUUAUUCUGUCAUUUUUUGAUCAGUUUUUAUUCCAUCUUUAACAAAAGUGUGUCUCUUUUUAAUAAAAAAAAAAAAAUCUAAUAGUAGUUCUACUGCACUGUAAUUUUUCAGAUUUGUGAAACUGCUCAUGUUUGCAUUCACCUCCUUAAUGUUGUCAUCUUUCUUUUAAAUAUUAGAGAUGAUCUUGACCAGAAUCUACCCAUAAAGAGACUGAAUUUUGAAAAAUGUGCAACAUUACUCAUAAACUUGCUCUGCUUGAGCGGUUUUUUUUAACCAGGUGAAAUUAAAUUUUUAUUCGAGACAUUAUUUCAAGGAAACAUGAGUAUUUUUUGCUGCUAUGAUCUUUGGUCACAAGAGGGCAGCAGAGCUACCAAUGUUGGUGUAAUUUACUUAUUUUGACGAAAGGAAAUACGUACUAAACAAAACAUUGUUUUCAUUUUCUUUCCAGCACACAAGUCAAAAAUAUAUAUUAUUUGUAUGUCUUUGGUAUUUGUUACACUUUUAAAAGCUCACCAGCUUCUUCAAAGAUUUUUUUGUGGUCUUUCGUAAAGGCCUUUAGUGUGUUUCAAAGUCCCACUCUGAUCCUCUUUUAUUUAUUUUCAAAGUGUUUCCAUUGGUAUGUUAAUUAUGAUUAUGCCGCUUAUAGUCAAGAUAAACAAAACUAGUAUCUUUUUUUUUUACAUAAUUUCUGCAGAUCGGCAGUACUUUAUUUGAAAUUUCCCUCUACAUUGUGGAUGGGACCAUUGGCGUGGAGCAACAACCCCCUUUCCCCUCCUGGUUUCUGAGAGCUCUCUGUUUACAGUCUCUCCUGUUAGCUUACAUCCCUUACCAACAAAAAUGGCAAGCUAUCCAGAUGUACAGUCUAGAGCCAGAUGGCUCGGACUAAGAGAUUUAUGGAUCUAUUUUGUUUACAAGUGGAAGCAUCAGAAUGGAGCAGAACAGGGAGCUUGAGUAUUUUCUACGUCACAAAUAACCUCUUUUUUCAAUCACGUUUUUUAUGGUCUGCUCCUUUUUUCGUGUUCAUAACCAUUUGAACAAAGACAUUCUCAUAAUUGUAAUUUUAAGCUAAAUUUUCUCAAUAUAUGUCCUCCAUCAUCAGAAAAACACCACAUGAACAUGGUAAAAAGCAAAAACAACACAAUUUUCAUCGGAGUCAUUAACUAGCAAUUUAAAAAAAAGAAAGAAACCCGCCUCAAACUAAAGUAGAAAAGUAACAGAAUGCCGAGGGUCAUCAUGAAAACUAACCUCAAAAGGAAAAUCUAAAUUGGUCCAUUUGAAGAAGCAAACUUUCAGAUUUGACAAAAGUUUUAAGUGCUGCUAGAAAUUCAAAUUCGCUAAUUUAGCAAGAAAUGCUAACUCUGACCGGUUCUGGCAUCUCAAAACAGCGUAGCAACACAGCCAGAUAGAUCUAAAACCCAAACAGUCACGUGUUGAGUCCACACACGCUUUUGUUUCACAAACUAGACAAAAAGUAACUAGAACAAAUACAUUUUUUUGGACGUUUCCUCUGUUGAUCAUUUUGAUUUCUUUAAGGGUCCACAUCAUGCUAUUCUUAAGCCUUUCGUAUUACAGCUUUGGACCGUUUUGUUUUUUUUUGUGAGGAGUUAACAUUAUAAUACACUUAAAAGCUCAAGAAGUUAACUUUGGAUGAUAUAGGCCCUUUAAAAAAAAGUGUUGGUCAAGGAGGCAAUAUAAUUUUGUUACCCAUCAAAGUUUGGAUGCCAACGCCUCGGCUUAGAAAGUAGCUAUUGGCUUUUGUGAAAGUCCGCUGGAGGUAUCGGCAGCAUUUGGCUCAACCAGGUGCUUUCAAUUUUGUCUAAAAAAAACCUGCAAAAUUCAAAAGUCAGUCACUCUAAUGGAAGCCAUUUCAAAAAAAUUUUUUACGCCUGUCCAAUCCCCCCCAGAAAAGAAAAAAAAAUUCAAUUUUUUUUAUCUUAUAAUUUUUCAAAAACUGAUUCAUAAUUAAUAUUUAGACAGCCGAGUUAUCUUGAGAUAAUAAAAGCUGUUAACUCCU